Molecule: ribosomal RNA, 573 nt
Filed under: uncultured rumen bacterium
Lineage: Bacteria
Description: bacterial SSU rRNA
Rfam family: Bacterial small subunit ribosomal RNA
Source: RNAcentral
GGCAGCAGCUAAGAAUAUUCCGCAAUGGUCGAAAGACUGACGGAGCGACGCCGCGUGAAUGAUGAAGGCCGUGGGGUUGUAAAGUUCUUUUCUGGAGGGAGAAUAAGUGCAUCAGGGAAUGGGUGCAUGAUGACGUGAAUCCAGGAAUAAGCCCCGGCUAACUACGUGCCAGCAGCCGCGGUAACACGUAGGGGGCAAGCGUUGUUCGGAAUUAUUGGGCGUAAAGGGCGCGCAGGCGGCCUGGCAAGUCUGCUGUUAAAUGGUUGAGCUUAACUCAAUCAUGCGGUGGAAACUACAAGGCUAGAAUCAACGAGGGGAUGCCGGAAUUCCAGGUGUAGGGGUGAAAUCUGUAGAUAUCUGGAAGAACACCAAUGGCGAAGGCAGGCAUCUGGCGACUGAUUGACGCUGAGGCGCGAAGGUGCGGGGAGCAAACAGGUUUAGAUAUCCUGGUAGUCCGCACAGUAAACGAUGUGCACCAGGUGGCGGGUAGCAGUACUCGGUACCGAAGCAAACGCAUUAAGUGCACCGCCUGGGGAGUAUGCUCGCAAGGGUGAAACUCAAAGGAAUUGACGG